GUCAUUUCCAUGGAAGGCGUCUUCUAUGUACAUAGUCCACCCUGACUCACAACUGUUGUAUUCCUCCUCCUCCUCAGAGACUCCAUGGUUCCUUGGAGACUCCAUGGCUUUGAGCAACGCAAAGAAGAACACAAAAGCAAGGAAAAGCAGGAGCCUAUAAGAAGCCUCAUAUAAUUGAAGAGAAGGAGUAAGUUUCACCACAUGGCAACCCUUAGCACCAUUGUUUUCACUCCCUUGAAGCACUACCAGACAAAGCCAACUGCAGAUAUAUAUAUUUCAAGGAAGUUAAAAAAAAAACAAUUCUGAAAGGGGGUGGUACUACAGUGGGCCUCGUGAACUUGGAGAGAUGUGUGUGUGAAGAUUUAUUCGAGUUUGUACACAUCGUUAAUGUCUGGAGACAAUGGAGUUGGACUCAUUGGAUUUUUUUUCUUUUCAUGUGAGACUGUGUAAUGUCAUUGUACGUCAUUUAUUAUUGUCACUGAUUCAUUUAUUUGUAGGUUUAAAUAUGGAAAAGUCACAGAUAUUGAAAGCAUCAUCAUCAGAGAUUCACUGGCUUGAAGUAAUUGAUAACUUUGGUUGGCAAGUCAGUGAGAAAAGGGACGGGACUUUGUGUUGUUUGCCUCAUCUAUUGUUUUCCUAUACUUUGGUUGUUUGUUUACUAUACCUUUGAUAUAUAUCCAUGCACUUAUGGUUUUGGAUAGUUACAUAUAGCAUAACCACACCGAUUGGUCAACUCCACUAGAUUUCUUUGUCCAACUUGUUCCUAACCAUUUAUAUAUGGUUUUUAGAAGUGUAAUACUUGAUUAAGAAGGUAGAACUUAAACUUUCUCGUGAUUGUUUUUAUGAAUCUUUAACAUAUUAUUUAUCGUCAGCCACAUCAUUAA
Raphanus sativus (radish) is the source of this 884-nucleotide long non-coding RNA. RefSeq lists it as uncharacterized. NCBI's taxonomy places the organism in Eukaryota, Viridiplantae, Streptophyta, Magnoliopsida, Brassicales, Brassicaceae. The transcript is spliced from 3 exons. The record is from RefSeq and is a predicted model, not a curated record.